Molecule: ribosomal RNA, 499 nt
Filed under: uncultured bacterium
Lineage: Bacteria
Description: partial 16S ribosomal RNA
Rfam family: Bacterial small subunit ribosomal RNA
Source: RNAcentral
GACGAACGCUGGCGGCGUGCUUAACACAUGCAAGUCGAACGGGCCCGCUCUCUUUUUUGGGGGUGGGUUGAGUGGCGAACGGGUGAGUAUCACGUGAGUAACCUGCCCCCUGCUCCUGGAUAACUGCUUGAAAGGGCGGCUAAUACGGGGUGUGCCGGCUGGUCCGCAUGGGCCUGGUCGGGAUAGUUUCAUCUUCGGGUGUUUCGGUGGGGGAUGGGCUCGCGGCCUAUCAGCUUGUUGGUGGGGUGAUGGCCCACCAAGGCGGUGACGGGUAGCCGGCCUGAGAGGGUGGGCGGCCACACUGGGACUGAGACACGGCCCAGACUCCUGCGGGAGGCAGCAGUGGGGGGUAUUGCACAAUGGGCGGAAGCCUGAUGCAGCGACGGCGCGUGAGGAAUGGAGGCCUUCGGGUUGUGAACCUCUUUCUCCGGUGGUGAAGGCCCUGUCCGUUGCGGCGGGGUUGACGGUAGCCGGGGAUGAAGCGCCGGCUAACUACGUG